This 362-nucleotide unclassified non-coding RNA is filed under the name uncultured bacterium. Its description in RNAcentral is "contains 16S-23S intergenic spacer region". The record is from RNAcentral.
UCCCCGUUACCGGGGCAGUCUGAUUAGAAAAAUACAACUAAUCAUAAGGGUUGCGCUCGUUGCGGGACUUAACCCAACAUCUCACGACACGAGCUGACGACGGCCAUGCAUCACCUGUCACUGUGUUCCCGAAGGCACAAAUUCCUUUCGGAAUUCUUCACAGGAUGUCAAGUCCAGGUAAGGUUCUUCGAUUAUCAUCGAAUUAAAGAACACGCUCCACCGCUUGUGCGGGUCCCCGUCAAUUCCUUUGAGUUUUAAUCUUGCGACCGUACUCCCCAGGCGGGAUGCUUAACGCGUUAGCUUCGCUACUGGAUGGGUCGAGCACCCAACAGCUAGCAUCCAUAGUUUACGGCGUGGACUAC